AUCACUAUUGUAGAAUCUAAGAUUGGCCUUUUGAGAUAUCUUUUCAGGAUUUUUGCAUGUCUGACACCAUGACUCCACCCGGACCCACCAGGACCUGCCAACUCCUCCUGUGGCCCCACCCAGAAAUGAUUCAGUGCAAGAGGACAGCUUCAAUCCCCUGAUUUCAUCUCUGACCCAAACAAUCAGCACUUUCCAUACCCUAGCCCCCUGCCCACCAAACUACUUUUGAAAAACCCCUACCCUAUGAGCCUUCAAGGAGAUUGGUCUUCUGUUUGUUUGUUUGUUUUUGUUUUUUGAGACAGAGUCUCUCUCUGUCAGCCAGGCUGGAGUGCAGUGGCACCAUCUCAGCUCACUGCAACCUCCACCUCCUGGGUUCAAGCAAUUCUCACGCCUCAGCCUCCCGAGUAGCUGAGAUUACAGGCAUCCACCACCAUGCCCGGGAUGCCAAGACAGGAGGAUUGCUUGAGGCCAGGUAUUCAAGACCAGCCUGGGCAACACAGACAUUGCAACAUCCCUGUCUUUACCAAAAAAGGAAAAAAUUAGCCAGGCAUGGUGGCAUGCACCUAUGGGCCUAGUUACUCAAGAGGCUGAGGUGGGAAGAUAGCUUGAGCCCAGGAGUUCAAAGUUACAGUGAGCUAUGAUCGCAUCACUGCACUCCACCCUGGGUGACAGAAUAAGACCAUGUCUCAAAAAACAAAGAAACAAACAAACCAGCCUGGGACCUCCUCCCUGCUUUGCUUCCUCCUUCAGCAUGUGUGAUCUCUUUGCACAUGCCGAUUCCCCUUUCACAUUCCACCUUGAGCUGAAGCAGCCUGAGACCCUCACCAGA
Molecule: long non-coding RNA, 829 nt
Filed under: Pongo abelii (Sumatran orangutan)
Lineage: Eukaryota; Metazoa; Chordata; Mammalia; Primates; Hominidae
Description: lincRNA
Source: RNAcentral